Long non-coding RNA from Sander lucioperca (pikeperch), 181 nucleotides. RefSeq lists it as uncharacterized. The transcript has 3 exons. The record is from RefSeq and is a predicted model, not a curated record. Lineage: Eukaryota; Metazoa; Chordata; Actinopteri; Perciformes; Percidae.
CCCUGAGAUGAGGACAGAAAGUCAGAGGGUCAAAGUUGAGGCAGCUCACAUCAUACACAAUAAUUAGAACUGCAAAUUAAUUUAUGAUGGGGUGGAACAUUGUGCAAAGCUGGUGCAUAUAAUUCAUGAAAGACCAGAUUUUCCUCAUCAGAAAAUAAAUAAAAAAUUCAAAUAACCACUU